AAACUAUAUGUUUUUGUUUUGAAAACAAAAAGUAAGAAAAAAUUCUUGUAGUUUU
RNAcentral lists this transfer RNA (55 nucleotides) under Cylicodontophorus bicoronatus. RNAcentral describes it as "tRNA-Ser". Lineage: Eukaryota; Metazoa; Nematoda; Chromadorea; Rhabditida; Strongylidae. The record is from RNAcentral.